GCCUUCGUGGUGUGGUGGUCAGCACGCUUGACGCGUAACCGAGAGGUCCGUGGUUCGAUUCCCGGCCGAAGGCC
Non-coding RNA from Stegodyphus mimosarum, 74 nucleotides. Lineage: Eukaryota; Metazoa; Arthropoda; Arachnida; Araneae; Eresidae. The record is from Rfam.